AAGUCGUAACAAGGUUUCCGUAGGUGAACCUGCGGAAGGAUCAUUACCGAGUACCGGGUCCUCUGGGCCCCUGCUCCCACCCUUUGUGUACCUACCUAUUUUUCGUUGCCUCGGCGGGGUCGAUCCCCAGGGCUGCCGGCCCUGUGGGGGACCCGCCGGGGGGACACGCCUAAACUCUUGUCAACCGUGACGUCUGAGAAAGAAAACAAACCAGUCAAAACUUUCAACAACGGAUCUCUUGGUUCUG
This 247-nucleotide unclassified non-coding RNA is filed under the name Tubeufia cerea. RNAcentral describes it as "partial internal transcribed spacer region". The stretch from base 1 to 46 matches the Rfam family "Eukaryotic small subunit ribosomal RNA", at positions 1786 to 1831 of the family's 1831-position model. The record is from RNAcentral. Lineage: Eukaryota; Fungi; Ascomycota; Dothideomycetes; Tubeufiales; Tubeufiaceae. RNAcentral also lists the same sequence under 1 other name.